Pilatotrama ljubarskyi is the source of this 91-nucleotide non-coding RNA. Lineage: Eukaryota; Fungi; Basidiomycota; Agaricomycetes; Polyporales; Polyporaceae. The record is from the annotation of a GenBank genome assembly.
CCUCCGAUAGCUCAGUUGGUAGAGCGCAAGACUGUAAUCGGUUACCUUGCAGGUCAUCUUGAGGCCGCUAGUUCGAUCCUGGCUCGGAGGA